GGUGGCCGCUGAAACCCACGGCCCUCGGCGUCUCGGGCCCGAGGCUCAUCCCGGCGUCCGGCCGGUCCGUCUCGCGCGCGGGCGCGGCCCCUGGGGAGAGAGCGCGGCGUCUGCGGGCGGCCGGCGGCGGGGUCCCCGGGGCGUGUCCCCCCCAGGCCUGGGCGGUGGGCGCGGCGGCGGCGGGGGAGGCGGCCCGGCGCCAUUUUGUGCGAGCCCGGCGGUGGCGGCGGCUGGUUCUCGCGGCCUCGCGUCUCUCCCGCUUCGUCGCCGCGGCCCACGGAGCACCAUGUCGGAGUACAUCCGCGUGACGGAGGAUGAGAACGACGAGCCCAUCGAGAUCCCGUCGGAGGACGACGGCACCGUGCUGCUGUCCACCGUCACCGCGCAGUUCCCGGGCGCCUGCGGGCUGCGCUACCGCAACCCGGUGUCCCAGUGCAUGCGCGGGGUGCGGCUGGCGGAGGGCGUGCUGCACGCGCCGGACGCAGGCUGGGGCAACCUGGUGUACGUGGUCAACUACCCCAAAGAUAACAAAAGGAAAAUGGACGAAGCCGACGCUUCUUCAGCUGUGAAGGUGAAGAGAGCAGUCCAGAAAACAUCGGACUUAAUAGUCCUGGGUCUCCCCUGGAAAACAACCGAACAGGAUCUCAAAGAGUAUUUCAGCACCUUUGGAGAAGUCCUGAUGGUUCAGGUCAAGAAAGACAUCAAGACCGGCCACUCCAAGGGCUUUGGCUUUGUGCGCUUCACGGAGUAUGAGACCCAGGUGAAGGUGAUGUCUCAGCGGCACAUGAUAGACGGGCGGUGGUGCGACUGUAAGCUGCCCAACUCCAAGCAAAGCCCAGACGAGCCCCUGCGGAGCCGGAAGGUGUUUGUGGGGCGCUGCACGGAGGACAUGACGGCCGACGAGCUACGUCAGUUCUUCUGCCAGUACGGGGAGGUGGUGGACGUCUUCAUCCCCAAGCCCUUCAGGGCCUUCGCCUUCGUCACCUUUGCAGAUGACCAGGUUGCCCAGUCUCUUUGUGGAGAGGACUUGAUCAUUAAAGGAAUCAGCGUGCAUAUAUCCAAUGCUGAGCCUAAGCACAAUAGUAAUAGGCAGUUAGAGCGCAGUGGAAGAUUUGGUGGUAAUCCAGGUGGCUUUGGGAACCAGGGCGGCUUUGGGAACAGUCGAGGGGGGGGGGCCGGGCUGGGCAACAACCAGGGCAGUAACAUGGGCGGGGGGAUGAACUUCGGCGCUUUCAGCAUCAACCCGGCGAUGAUGGCCGCGGCCCAGGCGGCACUGCAGAGCAGCUGGGGCAUGAUGGGCAUGUUAGCCAGUCAGCAGAAUCAGUCGGGCCCGUCGGGGAACAACCAGAGCCAAGGCAACAUGCAGAGGGAACCAAACCAGGCCUUCGGUUCUGGGAACAAUUCUUACAGCGGUUCCAAUUCAGUUCAUCUCAUUUCAAAUGUCUGUGGAAGAAGCACUUACUGAGCGUAGUGCUGUAGCAACUCCCCGUGCCGCAGGACAGCUUCUGUCUACACGCUUUCUCCUUCGAGAAUCCGCCACCGCCAUCGCACCGCACAGGCUGCGUCUCUGACGCCCUGAAUGCAAAGAAUCCAUAGCAGUUAAUUCCCCUUUUUUGACCCUUUUGAGAUGGAACUUUCAUAAAGUUUCUUGACAAUAGUUUAUUUUGCUUCAAAUAAACUGAUUUGAAAAGUUGUCUCAAGUCAAAUGGAUUCACCACCUGUCAUGCAUUGACACCUGAUACCCAGACUUAAUUGCUAUUUGUUCUUGCAUUGCCCAAAGUGAAAAGCUUUUUUUUUUUCUCUUUUUCUUUUCAAGUCUAGUUUUAAAUAAGUCUGGUGACCACACCUAAAAUGGUAAGCAGCGCCCUCCCGCUCUUUUCUUAGUGCCUCUGUGCAUUGGGUGAUGUUCUGUUUACAUGGCCAGGCUGAAUCUCCAUGGGGAGGUCAUGCCCUGGGGCAGCGGGCUCAGGAAUUACUUUCAGGUGCUUGUAGCAAAGCACUGUCCCUUUCAAAGAAGGGGGUGUCUGCGUCUUCCUAGUUCAGCAUCUGAAAAGUGAAAUUAAUCGCAGUAGGGGUCAACUAGAAGGGCCCACAAGCGAUCUUGUGCCUGAAGUCCAUUCAGAAGCUGAGAGCUUUAAGAACUGGCAGAGCAGGUUGCCUGCCGGGGGGGCGUUAGUGAGUGGGCUCUGCGUCCUCCGCGGGCGGGGGGCACGGGCCGAAGCAGACUGGGCCCUCGGCAUGGCCACCACACGCUCGGCUGUACUUCCUGUGUAACUCCCAAGCGUGCGGGCUGAGCUCCGUUUUCAUGGGGAGACUGACGGUCUGUGUCUAAAGAUGCUCAGCGGUUUGUCGCUGACUUUAGGAAGGGGCCCGCCUGCUAGGCCUGCUCUCCGCACUGUUGCGUCAGCCGUUUCCUCUGUAAAGGCUCUUGUUUUCUCUCUCUGCACCUACACCGCGUGACCUGAACCCUGUGCGUGUGAAUUUCGCACCCUAGCACUUGCACUGUUGCAGCAGCAGUAGUGUGGUGGCACUAGGAUGCUUUCUGCCCUCGGGACCGCAGAGAUAACAGCAGGCUGCAAGGAGCCGGUAAGUCCACUUGUCCGCACUGGAGGCGCCUCUGGCCCCGCUUAGCUCCGGGCUUUGACCUCUGCGUAAGUUAAGUCUGUUUGGUCAUCUAAAUGCAUUCAUUCUGAAAAAGAGAGAGCAAGAAAGACCUGGAAACCAGUUGAAUAAAAUGUUUUGUUGCCACCACA
RNA transcript from Erinaceus europaeus (western European hedgehog), 2753 nucleotides. It is a transcript of the gene named TAR DNA binding protein, with no coding region annotated. The transcript is spliced from 8 exons. The record is from RefSeq and is a predicted model, not a curated record. NCBI's taxonomy places the organism in Eukaryota, Metazoa, Chordata, Mammalia, Eulipotyphla, Erinaceidae.